GAUGAACGCUGGCGGCGUGCCUAAUACAUGCAAGUCGAGCGAACAGACGAGGAGCUUGCUCCUCUGACGUUAGCGGCGGACGGGUGAGUAACACGUGGAUAACCUACCUAUAAGACUGGGAUAACUUCGGGAAACCGGAGCUAAUACCGGAUAAUAUAUUGAACCGCAUGGUUCAAUAGUGAAAGACGGUUUUGCUGUCACUUAUAGAUGGAUCCGCGCCGCAUUAGCUAGUUGGUAAGGUAACGGCUUACCAAGGCAACGAUGCGUAGCCGACCUGAGAGGGUGAUCGGCCACACUGGAACUGAGACACAGUCCAGACUCCUACGGGAGGCAGCAGUAGGGAAUCUUCCGCAAUGGGCGAAAGCCUGACGGAACAACGCCGCGUGAGUGAUGAAGGUCUUCGGAUCGUAAAACUCUGUUAUUAGGGAAGAACAAAUGUGUAAGUAACUAUGCACGUCUUGACGGUACCUAAUCAGAAAGCCACGGCUAACUACGUG
Molecule: ribosomal RNA, 497 nt
Filed under: uncultured bacterium
Lineage: Bacteria
Description: partial 16S ribosomal RNA
Rfam family: Bacterial small subunit ribosomal RNA
Source: RNAcentral